UCCGGGCGUGGGGGCUCACGCCUGUAAUCCCAACAUCUUGGGAGGUUGAGACAGGAGGAUUGCUUGAGCCCAGGAUUUCAAGACCAGCCUGGGCAACAUAGUGAGAUCCUGUAUCUA
Molecule: unclassified non-coding RNA, 117 nt
Organism: Pongo abelii (Sumatran orangutan)
Lineage: Eukaryota; Metazoa; Chordata; Mammalia; Primates; Hominidae
Rfam family: Metazoan signal recognition particle RNA
About the family: The signal recognition particle (SRP) is a universally conserved ribonucleoprotein. It is involved in the co-translational targeting of proteins to membranes.
Source: Ensembl